This 497-nucleotide ribosomal RNA is filed under the name uncultured bacterium. RNAcentral describes it as "partial 16S ribosomal RNA". It matches the Rfam family "Bacterial small subunit ribosomal RNA", at positions 28 to 507 of the family's 1533-position model. The record is from RNAcentral.
GACGAACGCUGGCGGCGUGCCUAAUACAUGCAAGUAGAACGCUGAAGGAAGGAGCUUGCUCUUUCUGGAUGAGUUGCGAACGGGUGAGUAACGCGUAGGUAACCUGCCUGGUAGCGGGGGAUAACUAUUGGAAACGAUAGCUAAUACCGCAUAAAAUUGAUUAUUGCAUGAUAGUCAAUUAAAAGGUGCAACUGCACCACUACCAGAUGGACCUGCGUUGUAUUAGCUAGUUGGUGGGGUAACGGCUCACCAAGGCGACGAUACAUAGCCGACCUGGAAGGGGGGACGGCCACACUGGGACUGAGACACGGCCCAGACUCCUACGGGAGGGAGCAGGAGGGAAACUUCGGCAAAGGACGGAAGGCUGACCGAGGAACGCCGCGGGAGGGAAGAAGGUUUUCGGAUCGUAAAGAUCUGUUGUAAGAGAAGAACGAGUGUGAGAGUGGAAAGUUCACACUGUGACGGUAUCUUACCAGAAAGAGACGGCUAACUACGUG